CUUAGCGGGAGGGAGAGCGGCCGGGUGCGAGGCGGUGUGUGAGGUGCCGCGUGGCGCGUGAGGGCCGAGUGUGGUGUGCGCGAGUGUGAGUGCGCGCGUGGGGCGUGCGAGGUGAGUGCGUGCGUCCGCCCCGCGCCCCUCCCCCCGCCUACACCUUGAUCUUAUUUGAUCGGGUCGUGACCCCAGCCCCGCCGGGCCGACCUGGCGUGAAAAGCUGCCCUCCUGCGAAGCCCCUUCCCCGGGGCGCUGUGCAGCGAGGCCUCUCGGGCGGCGGCAUCGCCGGGGUCCCCGGGGUCCCGAGGCUGGUCCCCCGGGGCCGGCGCUCGGAAGUGAUGAGUUGAUCAGAUAGACGAGGCCGGGCUCGUCCCGGGCCGCUGAUUAUCGAGGCGAUUCUGAUCUGA
Molecule: small nucleolar RNA, 401 nt
Filed under: Carlito syrichta (Philippine tarsier)
Lineage: Eukaryota; Metazoa; Chordata; Mammalia; Primates; Tarsiidae
Description: Small Cajal body-specific RNA 2 (ENSTSYG00000036754.1)
Rfam family: Small Cajal body-specific RNA 2
Source: Rfam by way of RNAcentral